This is an RNA transcript of Carassius auratus (goldfish), 2444 nucleotides long. It is a transcript of the gene named chloride intracellular channel protein 1-like, with no coding region annotated. Lineage: Eukaryota; Metazoa; Chordata; Actinopteri; Cypriniformes; Cyprinidae. The record is from RefSeq and is a predicted model, not a curated record. The transcript is spliced from 7 exons.
AGAGAGAGAGAGAGAGAGAGAGAGGAAGUAAGGCUGAUCUUGCAGUAGGCGUUAUUGAUUUCGAUACUUAACGCGAACAGCAGACAUUCAUACAGUUUAUAAGAUACUCGGAUAUUCAGACACUUCUUAGCGGCGUUUGUUUGGACUUUCUCCAAAUUCGAAAUCCAUAGCUCGAGGGGGUAAAGCUGCACACAGUUUGAGUGUUGAGGGUCCAGCGGAAGUGCGCUCGGAGGAAGAGAAGGCGCUCGUCGGUGAAGCUGUAGCUCGGAGUGAGUCCAGCAUGAGUGAAGACAGACCUGAGGUGGAGCUGUUCGUGAAGGCAGGAAGUGAUGGUCAGAGCAUUGGGAACUGCCCGUUCUCUCAGCGGCUCUUCAUGGUCCUGUGGCUGAAGGGCGUGACCUUUAAUGUGACCACCGUGGACAUGAAGAGGAAGCCAGACAUUCUCAAAGAUCUGGCUCCUGGCGCUCAGCCUCCUUUCCUGCUGUACGGCACCGAGGUGAAGACGGACACCAACAAGAUCGAAGAGUUCCUGGAGGAAAACCUCUGCCCUCCUAAAUACCCUCGGCUGGCAGCUCGCAACCCUGAGUCGAACACCGCGGGUCUGGACGUGUUCUCCAAGUUCUCUGCCUACAUCAAGAACUCAAACCCGCAGAUGAACGACAAUCUGGAGAAGGGUUUACUGAAGGCCCUGAAGAAGCUGGAUGACUACCUGAGCUCUCCUCUGCCGGACGAGAUCGAUGAGAACAGCGCUGAUGAUGAUGUCACUUCCUCCCGGCCCUUCCUGGACGGUCAGGAGCUUACUCUGGCCGACUGUAACCUGCUGCCCAAGCUGCACAUCGUCAAAGUGGUGUGUCUGAAGUUUCGAGGGUUCUCCAUCCCUCGCUCGCUGACGUCUCUGUGGCGGUACCUGGACGCGGCGUAUGCCCGAGAGGAGUUCUCCUCCACCUGUCCCAGCGAUGAGGAGAUACACGUGGCCUACUCCUCCGUCGUGAAGGCGCUCAAAUAGAAGAACACACACACACACUCACACACACACACACACUCCUUCCAGAUUGUCCCAGUGUUUCACUUGUAUGUUCCUCAUGAGGUCUCACUUUUCAACUAAACCUGGUCUAAAUCGUACUGCCUUCACAUGCUCUCUGAAUUAUGGCAAAUAUGAGUUUCAUAGAAAAAGAGAGCACAUGAAUUCAAUUAUUCUGAAGGAUUUGGGCUGUGUGUGCUUUAUUAGUAGAUUUACCUGCAACAGCUUCAUUGCCUUGUCAUUAAAGUAGUAGCUUAUCUAAAUAUUAAUAAUCCUUUAAAGCAUAUUCUAUUUUUUAUACACAGCGAAAAUAGCAUGCGUUUCACCAAUAUUCCAGAAUAGAAUAGAAUAGAAUAGAAUAGAAUAUCUAGGUGCAGUAAAACUAUACGGUGGGAAACUAUGUCCAUUUCAGUCUGAAAGCAACCUUAACUUGUCUACAUAAUGCUUUUGUUGUGAAUGUGGUUAUUAACAAUGGCAUCCUCAAUUCUUGACAACAAAGCACCUGAACACAACAAGCUCGUAAUCAAACUUAAGAAGUGCGCAUGAUCAUAUUUCCAAUAGCGUGUGAAGGCAGCAUUAUAGUUCAUAUUUCCUUAAAGCAGCUGAACACAUACAGUACAAUAAUCAUCAAAUGUUUCAGCUUACUAAUAGUGGGUGUUUUUCAGUGGGUUCUGGACGAGUGCAUUGCUAGCCGUUACAGACAGGAAGUUGUUGCCUCAUUCCUCCCAUUGCUGUCCCUCCCUCUCGCUCUGCCGCUCUGUAAUGACAGCUUUUUGCUCACAGCUGCUUUGGUCACGAACAUUUCAGAAACUGUUUUAAGCUGCUUUUACAUUCCAUAUAUGACGUUACAAAAUCAUGAAGUUAUCAUAAAAGUAGCCCAAAUGAAUCCUGUGUAAAGGUUUAUACUGGUUUAUAUGUGAGAAGUAAAAAUCCCAGUCGUCUCAUCUCGUUGCUAUAUGAUCUGAUGUAUUUCAAAUUUGAGUCACUAGAAUAUUCUUCCAUCUCUAAUUAUGACUGAAACUUCCACAUUGAGAAAACUCGUAUUUAUUGUCUGGGGAGAGUUAUGAAAAACAUGCACAUUUAUUGUCUUCUGAAAAAAUAGGAAACGAGUGACAGCAACAACUGCUGCCUUUUUAAGCUGAUUCGGCCUGUUUCUAAGAUGACCUUAACACAAUAUUUCUCUAUGCAGUAUCAUGCUUUAUCCCCAGUCCUCUCCCGUGCACUUCUGUUCUCACUUCCUCUGAAACACUGGUCCUUUCCAGAUCUCUCUCUCACUCAGAUGGACAACACAACAUCAGGCCAGAUAUUGAUUAGUUAGGAUUUUAUUGAUUAGAGGGAUGUUACAACAAAGUCACUUUCUUCCUGCAUUUCUAACAUUGUUAUUCAGCAAUACAGUUUAUAAUAAAGUUCAAAUAAAAAUAAA